CAGUCGCUUUUGCACUUCCAUCUGAAGCUUGAGUGCUUCUGUAAUUUGCAUUCCACUACAAAAAUUAAGAAUGCAAUUUGUCAAAUCAAGUUUUGAAUUGAUUACCCAGAAUAAUCUAAAAGAGCAUAUCUGAACUUUUUAUUCAGAUCCUGCCCAUGGGUUUUCUUGAACUUUUCAAUGGCUCAAGCUCUACCAUGUGAUUCUAUGUUCUGGUACAAACAUGAAUUUUCUAAUUUUAAAACUUCAACAAACAUUUAAAUAUGACCUAUUUAAACAAAUCAAAAAGGAAAAAAGAGAGAGAGAGAGAGAG
RNAcentral lists this unclassified non-coding RNA (310 nucleotides) under Hevea brasiliensis (rubber tree). Lineage: Eukaryota; Viridiplantae; Streptophyta; Magnoliopsida; Malpighiales; Euphorbiaceae. The record is from RNAcentral.